AUCAGGAAGAAAGCUUGCUUUCUUUGCUGGCGACCGGCGCACGGGUGAGUAACACGUAUCCAACCUGCCCUUUACUCGGGGAUAGCCUUUCGAAAGAAAGAUUAAUACCCGAUAGCAUAAUGAUUCCGCAUGGUUUCAUUAUUAAAGGAUUCCGGUAAAGGAUGGGGAUGCGUUCCAUUAGGUUGUUGGUGAGGUAACGGCCCACCAAGCCUUCGAUGGAUAGGGGUUCUGAGAGGAAGGUCCCCCACAUUGGAACUGAGACACGGUCCAAACUCCUACGGGAGGCAGCAGUGAGGAAUAUUGGUCAAUGGGCGUUAGCCUGAACCAGCCAAGUAGCGUGAAGGAUGAAGGCUCUAUGGGUCGUAAACUUCUUUUAUAUAAGAAUAAAGUGCAGUAUGUAUACUGUUUUGUAUGUAUUAUAUGAAUAAGGAUCGGCUAACUCCGUGCCAGCAGCCGCGGUAAUACGGAGGAUCCGAGCGUUAUCCGGAUUUAUUGGGUUUAAAGGGAGCGUAGGUGGACUGGUAAGUCAGUUGUGAAAGUUUGCGGCUCAACCGUAAAAUUGCAGUUGAUACUGUCAGUCUUGAGUACAGUAGAGGUGGGCGGAAUUCGUGGUGUAGCGGUGAAAUGCUUAGAUAUCACGAAGAACUCCGAUUGCGAAGGCAGC
Molecule: ribosomal RNA, 664 nt
Filed under: uncultured Bacteroidales bacterium
Lineage: Bacteria; Pseudomonadati; Bacteroidota; Bacteroidia; Bacteroidales
Description: bacterial SSU rRNA
Rfam family: Bacterial small subunit ribosomal RNA
Source: RNAcentral